RNAcentral lists this ribosomal RNA (246 nucleotides) under uncultured bacterium. RNAcentral describes it as "partial 16S ribosomal RNA". It matches the Rfam family "Bacterial small subunit ribosomal RNA", at positions 527 to 773 of the family's 1533-position model. The record is from RNAcentral.
GUAGGGGGCGAGCGUUAUCCGGAUUCAUUGGGCGUAAAGCGCGCGUAGGCGGCCCGCUAAGCGGGACCUCUAACCUGGGGGCUCAACCUCCAGCCGGGUCCCGAACUGGCGAGCUCGAGUGCGGUAGGGGCAGGCGGAAUUCCCGGUGUAGCGGUGGAAUGCGCAGAUAUCGGGAAGAACACCGAUGGCGAAGGCAGCCUGCUGGGCCGACACUGACGCUGAGGCGCGAAAGCUAGGGGAGCGAAC